GAACUUCUGAUCCAUACUUCUGUAAUCCUAGUCUUACUUGAGGACUUGUAGCCGGUACUCUCAUUACAUAGAUCCAUUUGACGUACUCAUUUAUCUAUUAUGCUGCAUGCUUGAGCUUCUUGUCACGGGUGAUUGAAAUGGCUGAUCAGUGCUCAUUUAUCUAUUGAAUCAUGUUGGACAUGCCUGCCUGCUUGAUGUAGUCUAAUUAGAUCCAUUUAUAAGCAAUACCUGCAUGCUAUCUGUGUUACAGCCUCAUUGGCAUGCUAGACUGCAUAGCCCAGCUAAUAGAUUACAUGAUUGUUGAUGGUAACUUUCCCCGUGGAAGGUUUGCGGAGGUUGCUGAACUGACCAGCGUAUGCUGGUUGGAGAUUCGUGGCAAGAUCGAAAGUAGAAUGCUUUCUCGGAAAACAGCCUACGCUGCCUAUCUCAUCUAUGAUACCGCCAAUUAUGCAUUUGGUCUCAACCAUCCGUCCCAAGAAGCAUCAGUGAAGGUUGGAGUGCAUUCGUCGACGAAACUGGUUUGUUUGCAGCCUACAGACAUGCUCAGCCGUAGGCAUGCCCAGAGGGCCAGUGCUUUGUGCUAUCGCAAGGAAGCCGAAGAAGUGGAUGGAGACUCAAAGGAAGCCGAAGAAGUGGAUGAAUCCGCAGAGGAAGUCGAAGAAGUGGAUGGAGCCCCCCAAGCAAGGAACGAUGACUGGAUGGAGCUGGAGCUGGGUGAAUUCUACAUCGACGAAGGAGAUGAUGGGGAGGUUAAGAUACGCUUGUUGGAGGUGAAGGGAGGCCACUGGAAGAGGGGUCUGAUCAUAGAGGGAAUUGAAAUACGGCCUAAACAGUAGGUGAAAUCUUCGAGUGAUCAUAAAAAAUUUGUCUAUUUGCUUUCACUUUUGAUGAUCAAGAAGAUAUGUUGGAGGUUAAGUUUGCAACUGUAAGCAUGCUGAUGUAACUGCGUUUCUUGUAUAGGAUUUGUUGCUUCGACAAACAGAGAUUGAGAUGGAACGCUUCAAUUUGUGUUGUUUUGAGUUGCGUAUGAAAGACAGACGUUAUCCUUUUCACUCUACCAAGAUUACAGUUUUUCUGGCUUUAGUCUAAUUACCCAAAAAGAAAAAAAAAAUUGUAGCAAUACUAGUUAAGCUUUUAAUUGUUGGAAAGAAUAUAAGACAAGAAGAAUUAGUGAAAAAGUUAUUUUAAGUUAUUCUCCUCCUAUUUAUAUAGAUUAAGAUGAAGGAUUUCCCUCAACAAAAUAGAAAGAUUUCCUCAUACAGUUAGGGAAAUCUUAUAUGCUAUGGUUUAUUAGAAUUCAUCACUAUAGGUCAAAGGAUGUACUCGGAAUUUUAUAAGUCACAUCAUCAUAGACGGUCUAAAUGUUCGAAAUUUUCUUCUUUUAAAACUGUCUCAAGAUAUGUGUACAAUCGAUACCAUUUUUCAACGUAUUUUGAAUUACAUUAUUUUCUUUUAAGAUUGAUCCCCCAAUUAUGAUAUCAACUUAUCAUUCAAUUAGAUCCUAUAUAUAUGGAGACUAUUCUUAGACUCAACAGAGGUCACUAUUUAUUGAGGUGUUUUCGUUCAAUCAAUUCUUUGAUCUAUUAUUUAAAAUUAAAAUAAACUUCAUGAUUAGGAUCUUUGUGGAAUCGAUAAUACUUUAUAUUAGCUCUUCUUAUAGAUGAGUACCCAGAUUGAGGGGUAAGGAGAAGAUCAUUUUCCUCACUUAGGUACAUCAAGUGUGAAGGGUAUAAAAUCUCUUCAAGGUCACAUUCUUUUUUCAAAUUAAAUCAAUAUAUAGUACUAUGUUCAUGAUGAACUAGCAAUACUUUGGUCAAGAAAUUUUUUUUUUCCUUAUUUAGAGAAAUACUUUGGCAUAUGAAAUGUUAAAUGAGGUAAAAUCUCUUCUGGAUGGUGCUCGAUCCCCUUGAGGAGGUCUUUAUUAUGACACAAAUUAUUUUGAGUUGACCUAGAGAGGAAUGAACCUUAGUAACCAUUUACUUUCCAUCCAUCCUUUUUUUCUUUAUGAUUAGGGAUUUGACCUAUGGUUAAUAAUUUUUUGGUAAUUGACCAAAAAAAAAAAGUGAGAAGGAUGAAUGUCAACCAUGAAAGCAUUAAUGGGACAUAUUGGUGUGGGUCUGACACCGUCCUCACUUUCUUGAUAAAGCUAUUAGUAUAAUUCAACAUUGAUUUAUUUUUUAUUGAAUUGCUAGGAUAAAGGUUGUAGACUUCCUCGACAAUUUGUAAUUAAUGGGGUUGAACUCAAACUCCUUAGCUAGCUAAUCGAAUGAACUGAAUAAUUGAGUUUGGGGGGAUGUAUACUAUUCUUAGGUCACAUAGAUGGGAAGAAUUGAUAUGUGAGUGUUUUUGUUGUUGCACACAACGUUAUAUAAGACACGAAACAAGCAAUGCAUUUAGACAUAUCAAAUCUUCCAUAAGGAGACUCCAACAUCGAAAGAUGAAAUCAUUGAGAAUUAGAUUCAUCCAUAAUGCCUUGGAUAAAUAGGGAUUGCAUGUAAGUUCGGUAGAGACAAGUUCUUUUCCUUGUUUAAAUUAUUGUCUCAUAUCUUUAAGGCACUACUAGAUUAGAUUGUGAUUGAUAAGAAAAUUAUACUUUUCAAUGAGAAUUUAAUAAAAUAAAUCUAGAUUUUAUUUAUGACACUAAGGACAAUAUCCAUAGAGUUUAUUUUGUCAUGCAAAAUAUUCUCUUUGGCCGCCAGCGACCAAAUAUAAAUUGAUUAUAAAAGAUAACUUGAGCAUAACUAUCGAGGUAUGACAGUUUUCAUCCAAAGCUUCACCUAAUCUAUUUUGGAUCUGACUUAGGUAUCAAAAGGAUCAUGUUGGGAUCCCAUUUGAUAUUGGUAUUGAGUACAUCUCAACCCUCAUGGGAGCUCGUUAAAUGGAUUAAGGGACUCCUAUCGUAAGUUGAGCCAAGACCGAGUAGGGCAUGUCCAUCGUUUCAUGUCAACCACAUCUAUUUUCUCCCGUCAUAUGCCAAAAUGAUUCCAACAAAAGGAUGGGUAACAAAUCCUACAAUAAACUUCAUAAAUAUGAAAGAAAAACUUAAAAAGGAUCCCUACCUCUUUUGCCCUCCUCCUCAUCAUUCAUCUUCCAAUCAAGGCAUGUUGCCCUUUUUCAAUAAGAGGAUAGAGAGGCUCUCUCAAAGGAAAAAAAUUAAUUAUAAAAUAUCAAAUUAAUUAAGAAGUUUGCUAUUGACAAUCCCUUUUUGCUAUUGGCAAACCCCUAUAAAAAUGAUAAAAUAUAAUUUUACUCUUUACCGUUCCUCAAUUAUCAAUCAUAUAUUUAUUCUCACAACCUCUUAUUUCUUCCACUAAAAUUUCUAAAAAGGAUGGGUAAUAAAUCCUAUAAUAAACUUCAUAAAUAUGAAAGAAAAACCUAAAAACGAUCCCUAUCUCUUUUGCCCUUCUCCUCAUCAUUCACCUUCCAACUAAGGCAUGCUGCCCUCUUUCAAUAAGAGGAAAGAGAGGCUUUCUCAAAGAAAAAAAUUAAUUAUAAAAUAUCAAAUUAAUUAAGAAGUUUGCUAUUGGCAACCCCUUUUUUGCCAUUGGCAAGCCCCUAUAAAAAUGAUAAAAUAUAAUUUUACUUUUGCAGUUUCUCAAUUAUUAAUCAUAUAUUUAUUCUCAUAAUCCCUUAUUUCUUCCACUAAAAUUCCAACAAAAUGAUGGGUAACAAAUCCUACAAUAAACUUCCAAAAUAUAAAAAGAAAACCUAAGAAGGAUCCCUACCACUUUCACCCUCCUCCUCAUCCAUCACCUUCCUAACAAGACAAGUUGCCCUCUUUAAAUAAGAGGAAAGAGAGGCUCUCCCAAAGAAAAUAAUUAAUUAUAAAAUAUUAAAUUAAUUAAGAAGUUUGCUAUUGACAAACCCUUAAAAAAUAAUAAAAAUAUAAUUUUACUAUUUAUAGUCUCCCAAUUACCAAUUAUAUAUUUAUUAUUACAACCCCUUAUUUCAUCCACCGGAAAACUAUGUGCGUCAACAUCGCUCAAUGCCAUUCUGCCAUCCGAUGUUGCUUGACACCAUCAUCCCCACUCGUUCUUAAGUAUAAGUUAACUUAGCCUUAACAAAAACCAUUAUCGUCCCUUUGCUCAUAUGUCUCCUCUCUCUCCCAUGGCAAGAAUAGGCAAAAAAAAAAAAAAACUCUCAAGAAAGUUGAUCAAGACUCAAGAAGAAAUCACCAUGGUAGAGAUAUAAGAGGUGAUGGAGAUGAUGGUGGGGGUAAGCUCCAGAAAGGAGCUGAAGUGGUGGAUGAAAUAGAUGAAGAAGACUAAGUCCAACGGCUUCAAGCCACUUGACCUCUACUUUAAGGUUUAUUAUUAAAUCAAGUAGAAGGGAUAUCGGAUGUCUACACUAAUCCAGUGCAAGACCAUGCCUCUUAUCCUCUCCGACAUUAACAUUGUCAUCAUGGCUUGCAUCGAGUCUAGGAAAAUUGUUAUCGUUCGAUGUCAUCCCUACUCAUUGAGCAUCAUUCAUUGCUUUACAUCGCUCAAUGCAGAGGAAGACAUCGCUCACCAUCACUUUAUCAUGGACUUAACUGAUUUUGCCUAAGUUAUGCAACUCCCUUAUGUGUUCAUUCAUAAAGGAUCAACCUCUCUAUAACUUUUUAGGGUCCCUUAAGGACCUAUAAAAGAUAAGACGAGCUAGAAAAAGUUUUAUAUGCAAGGUUUCAUAAGUAGACAUUUUAGUAAACACUUAAUAAAUAAUGUAGAAUAUAAAGAUAGACUUUGCAAGCUCUAAACGGUAAUAAAACAUAAGAUCUAAAGCAGUCAACGACGAUUAAAAAUCUCCAUAAGUGGUUACAUGACAUCCUUAAGGACCUAGGUAGCAAUAUAGCCCUAGACACUAUCCUAAAUGCCCAUCAAGUCUUAUGUCACCUAGGUAAUCUAAUAUGCUAAAAUGAUUGACAUUUUGUGCUAUUCAACACACCUAUAAAACAUCCAAAAUCGCCACUUGGAUGGUUUAUUUUUUAAUAGUUUUACUUUUGAGCAAUCAUUUUUUCACACAUAACUUGUGUGUAUAAGCUUGAAACAUUCACAAAAGCCAAUUAAAAUUGUCAAGUCUACUAUAAACCCCCUAUUUGAUGCCUAAAUUAUAAAUAAAAUCCAAAGACACUUUGCUUACAUGAUUGUUUAUGACAUUCUUAGUCACUUAUUCCUUUAACAUUCUCGUUGAAGCCUUUGUAGAUGUUGUAUCUCUUUGUUUUUGUUGAAUCUUUAAUCCUUUGUUUUAGUUACAAUAUACAUGCUAGCUUCUAGUUGCUCUUUGUCGUUAUUGUUGAGCAGCUGAACUCUGAGUUGCCAAUAUUACUUCAACUCACUAAUGAUUCUGACUCUAGUUUGGGCUCAAUCAAGUUGUACUAAUCUUCGUUGGUCCAUGCAAAUCCUUUGUAUAAAAGAAAAGGCCUUCCGUAUUGUGCAUAAAUCCCUCAAAUGUCUCACAUCAGUUGAACCAGAUGAAUGCCUGUUUGAGCUUUAAUGAGUAUAACCUUAUAGACUUUAAAAUUUUAAGGUAUUUUCUUUGUAAAAUUUGUCUAUUGAUUCUUUUUUUUCUUUGUCAUCACCUUCAAGUAGGUUCACAUCAUCUUCAUUUUCUAUUAUCAUUUUGUUAGGAAAUAAAAUAGAUAAACUACCUUUGGUAGAACGAUCAUCAUUGGCGAGAAUUUGACAACUAAUCUGUCACAACAUCUCUUCAAAGAGUCUUUAAAUAUGUGCAUAACUCCUUUGCUAGAUAACUAAGAUUGUUGGGUAGUUAGUUUCGCUUAUUCUCUCAAGAGCUAAGAAUGCUAAGGAUACUUGAUUUCGCUCACCUCAUCGAGGGUUAUACUUCAUACAUCAAGGUAGUUAAUAUCUUUUGCUAGUCAUAAGUGUCCUACAAGCCAAUCACAUGAGUGAUGGCACGUGUGAUUUGACACGCAGUCUUUUUGCUUAUUAUUAUCAUUUGAUAUUUUAUCACUUUAUAUUGUCUGUUGCUUGAAUAUAUUGUGAUGUCCAUGGAUCUAUGCAAUGGGAAUUAGAUCAUGAUGAGAUCACGAUAAUGAGAUCGAUUUGCCUUUAAAUAUAUAUCCUAAAUAAUCCUGGUCAUAAGUUGCUCAAGAGGGACAUCAAGAUAAUCAGACAGACUAGUGUGUUGUAUACUCAUCCAUAUAAUCGAUACAGCUGGUCUCAUAGUUGCUCGUGUGGGGACACUAGGGAUACAGUACAAAUGCUUAUAAGGGAAUGAGUUAAUUGAUUGAUCCGUUUACGGUAUGCUGGAUGGUUGAUGAUACCUUAUUGUCAAAUAGCGAUUCUAUAAUCACAGUAGUUGUUGGGAAAUCAUGGGGGCGACAUCACAUGCGCAGCGGAAGAACAAGAAAAUAAAAUCCCCGAUUCCCAAAAAGAUGUUCGUCGUCGUGCGAAGAUUGGUGCGCAAAAAUCCGCGAAACAUGAAACUGCGUAUAGAGUAGAUUGUGUUACCUAGGGAGAUCGUAUAUCCCUGUUUCCUUGCAGAUCCUUAGGAGAGGGUAAAGGAGGUCAAGCGUCCUCCUCUCUAGCGGUGAUCCACACAGUAGGGUUGCGACGAUGCUCCUCAAAAACUCCAGGCCUGAUUUGAGGUGGAGAGGAAGAGGAGAAUAGGAAAGGCAAGCAAAGGCUCUAGCCUAUGAGGCUCUGAAUCCCUCCUAUUUAUAGAGGUCCCCUGUCAAACCCUAAUGGGUCCUCCCCUAGUGGGUAUUGGAUCUGCAUCCAAUAAGACAAGGGCUCCGUCGGAUAUCUCAUAUCCGAACCUCUACUCAUCGCAAUGCCUACCAUAUGUGUGUGACCCUCUAGGCCCAAUAUCGAGCUGGCCGUGAGUCAUACCUGUCAGAACUCCUUCUAACUCAGUGAAUUAUUAUCUCUGUAAUAAUUCACUUGACUCAUCGACUACGGAAGUACUAGGCCACUACGCCGUAGUCCCUAGACGAUACAGGGGAAUCCAAUCCAUUGGACAUGUCUNNNNNNNNNNNNNNNNNNNNNNNNNNNNNNNNNNNNNNNNNNNNNNNNNNNNNNNNNNNNNNNNNNNNNNNNNNNNNNNNNNNNNNNNNNNNNNNNNNNNNNNNNNNNNNNNNNNNNNNNNNNNNNNNNNNNNNNNNNNNNNNNNNNNNNNNNNNNNNNNNNNNNNNNNNNNNNNNNNNNNNNNNNNNNNNNNNNNNNNNNNNNNNNNNNNNNNNNNNNNNNNNNNNNNNNNNNNNNNNNNNNNNNNNNNNNNNNNNNNNNNNNNNNNNNNNNNNNNNNNNNNNNNNNNNNNNNNNNNNNNNNNNNNNNNNNNNNNNNNNNNNNNNNNNNNNNNNNNNNNNNNNNNNNNNNNNNNNNNNNNNNNNNNNNNNNNNNNNNNNNNNNNNNNNNNNNNNNNNNNNNNNNNNNNNNNNNNNNNNNNNNNNNNNNNNNNNNNNNNNNNNNNNNNNNNNNNNNNNNNNNNNNNNNNNNNNNNNNNNNNNNNNNNNNNNNNNNNNNNNNNNNNNNNNNNNNNNNNNNNNNNNNNNNNNNNNNNNNNNNNNNNNNNNNNNNNNNNNNNNNNNNNNNNNNNNNNNNNNNNNNNNNNNNNNNNNNNNNNNNNNNNNNNNNNNNNNNNNNNNNNNNNNNNNNNNNNNNNNNNNNNNNNNNNNNNNNUCUGUAUCAAGUCACAUGUGCCAUCACUCACGUGAUUGGCUUGCUGGGCACCUAUGACUAGCAAUCUCCCACUUGACCUAAAGCCAAUCACCUAUGUGUCUGAUCCCCAUCAAACCCCUGUGACGCUCAAAGACAAUCUGAGACAAUGACUUUGUCAGUGGAUCUGCAAUGUUAUCUUCGGAUGGAACUCUUUCCACUACUACAUCUCCUCGGGCUACGAUCUCUCUGAUAAGCUGGAACCUCCUCAGAACACUUCUGAUGAGACCCGAAUUCCCUUAUUUGAGUAAUCGCUCCAUAGUUGUCGCACCAAUGUACUCCGCCUCCUUUGCUACAUCUAAUCAUGAGGUCGACGGUUUAGAUCAGCUGCGUUUCUUUUCUUUGAGUCGUAUUUGUUUCUUGGCCACGUGGAAUUUUCUCUUGCCUUGGAUUACGAGGCUAAGCUCGCUUUCUCCGAACCACAGGAUGGGGCCCGUACGAUAUGCCUCCCCUCGUGUGGCGUGUAUAUAUAUCAAAGCCGCCGCGGAGGGGCUGACUCCAUUCAUCCAACGUGAAAACUUGCAUUCUUUUUUUGCCCUUUUCACAGAAAGAGAGAGGGAGAGAAAGGAACGGGCGAUAGAUCGAGCGCGAUAUGGAGAAGGGAGAGUCGAGAACGGAGAAGCUUCCGGAGCUCUGCAUCGUACACGCCAUUUCCCUUACCUCGCCCCGGGUGGCGUCCCGCUUAUCCGCCGUCUCGACCACCUUCCGCGCCGCCGCCACCUCUGACACCGUCUGGGACCGCUUCCUGCCCUCCGAUUGGCAGUCGCUUGUCUCCCGCGCUGUCCAUCCCGUCGACUUCUCCUCCUUUUCCUCCAAGCGGGAUAUCUUCUUCCGCCUCUGCGAUCCCAUCCUCAUCGACGACGGCAAGAUGGUUAGUCCAAAACCCCUCCUCUCGUUUUCUGGUGUGAUUUCUUUUUAUAAGCUUAUGUUGUUGCAAAACUUUAAGUUGUUGUUCCGUUAGAUAUCUAAUCAAAUUCAACCCCCCGCCCCAAAAAAGUUUUUUGUUUGGAGGAAGAAGGGUAUACUUUGAUCUUUCCGAUUGUACAAUGGUGUUUGAUAUAAUGUCUUCGCCUUUGGUCCAUCGCAUCCAGCGUCUUUCAUUCAAAUUAUUGAUGUCUCUUGAACUUGAUUUAUGUUUGUCUUUGCAGAGUUUCUCACUGGACAGAUCGAGCGGGGCCAAGUGCUACGUACUCUCCGCUAGGAAGCUGUCCAUUACGUGGGCAGAUGCUCCCUGGUAUUGGAAGUGGCGUUGUCUACCUGAAUCCAGGUGUGUAGUAAUCUCCUGUUCCCUCUUCAUAACAUAACUCUGAAAACCAAGCCUUUUGUUAAGAAAAUUAGUACCUUUUAUUAGCACAUACACGAACUUCUGAUCCAUACUUCUGUAAUCCUAGUAUUACUUGAGGACUUGUAGCCGGUACUCUCAUUACAUAGAUCCAUUUGACGUACUCAUUUAUCUAUUAUGCUGCAUGCUUGAGCUUCUUGUCACGGGUGAUUGAAAUGGCUGAUCAGUGGACAAGUCUCCUGAUACCUAGGUUGUGCUCCUUUAUUGAAUCAUGUUGGAUAUGCCUGCCUGCUUGAUGUAGUCUAAUUAGAUCCAUUCAUAAGCAAUACCUGCAUGCUAUCUGUGUCACAGCCUCAUUGGCAUGCUAGAAUGCAUAGCCCAGCUAAUAUAUUACAUGAUUGUUGAUGGUAACUUUCCCCGUGGAAGGUUUGCGGACGUUGCUGAACUGCUCGACGUAUACUGGUUGGAGAUUCGUGGCAAGAUCGAAAGUAGAAUGCUUUCUCAGAAAACAGCCUAUGCUGCCUAUCUCAUCUACCGUACCUCUGAUGAGGCAUAUGGUCUCACCAAUCCAUCCCAAGAAGCAUCAGUGAAGGUUGGAGUGUAUACGUCGACGAAACUGGUGUGUUUGCUGCCUAUAGACAUACUCAGCGAAAGUGAUGCCCAGAGGGCCAGUCCUUCGUAUAAGUAUCAAAUAUGCUGCUGCUGCGAAGACUCAGAGGAAGCCGAAGAAGAGGAUGGAGACUCAGAGGAAGCCGAAGAAGUAGAUGGAGACUCAGAGGAAGCCGAAGAAGAGGAUGGAGACUCAGAGGAAGCCGAAGAAGUAGAUGGAGACUCAGAGGAAGCCGAAGAAGUAGAUGGAGACUCAGAGGAAGCCGAAGAAGUGGAUGGAGCCCCCAAGGCAAGGAACGAUGACUGGAUGGAACUGGAGCUGGGUGAAUUCUACACCGACGAAGGAGAUGAUGGGGAGGUUAACAUAAGCUUGUUGGAGGUGAAGGGAAACUACUUGAAGAGUGGUCUGAUCAUAGAGGGAAUCGAAAUAAGGCCUAAACAGUAGGUGAAAUCUUCGAGUGAUCAUAAAAAAUUUGUCUAUUUGUUUUCACUUUUGAUGAUCAAGAAGAUAUGUUGGAGGUUAAGUUUGCAACUGUAAGCAUGCUGAUGUAACUGCGUUUCUCGUAUAGGAUUUGUUGCUUGGACAGUCGGAGAUUGAGAUGGAACGCUUCAAUUUGUGUUGUUUUGAGUUGCGUAUGAAAGACAGGCGUUAUCCUUUUCACGCUAACGAGAUUUACAGUUUUUCCUGGCUUUAGUCUAAUUACCCAAAAAGAAAAAGAAAAAAAAAUCUAGCAACACUAGUUAAGCUUUUAAUCACCUUGUUGGCAACUCAGCCAUUGCCAAGGGUAUGGUUUAUUAGAAUUCAUCACAAAAUUAAUUCAGAGACAAUUUGGGAUCAACAUUAGAACUAGUUUGGUGUCAGAAAAGUAGGAGAAUUAAUAGAUAUUUAUGUAAAGAUCACAUUGUGGAGGUACCAAACAAGCAAUGGGGACACGAAACAAGCAAUGUAUUUAGACAUAUCCAAGCUUCCAUAAGAAGACUCUAAGGUCGAGAGAUGAAAUUAUUGAGAAUUAGAUUCAUCCAUAAUGCCUUGGAUAAAUGGGGAUUGCAUGUAAGUUCGGUUGAGACAAGUUCUUUUUCUUGUUUAAAUUAUUGUCUCAUAUCUUUAAGGCACUACUAGAUUCGAUUGUGAUUGAUAAGAAGAUUGUACUUUCCAAUGAAAAUUUAAUAAAACAAAUCUAGAUUUGAUUAUGACACCAAGGACAAUAUCCGGAGAGUUUAUUUUGUCAUGCAAAAUAUUCUCUUUGACCGCCAGCGACCAACUAUAAAUUGAUUAGAAAAGAUAACUUGAGCAUAACUAUCGAGGUAUGACACUUUUCAUCUAAAGCUUCACCUAAUCUAUUUUGGAUCUGACUUAGGUAUCAAAAGGAUCAUGUCGGGGAUCCCAUUUGAUAUUGGUAUUGAGUACAUCUCAACCCUUAUGGGAGCUCGUUAAAUGGAUUGAGGGACUCCUAUCGCAAGUUGAGCCAAGACCGAGUAGAGCAUAUCCAUCGUUCCAUGUCAACUAUAUCUAUUUUCUCCUAUCAUAUGCCAAAAUAAUUCCAACAAAAGGAUGGGUAAUAAAUCCUACAAUAAACUUCAUAAAUAUGAAAGAAAAACCUAAAAAGGAUUCCUACCUCUUUUGCCCUCCUCCUCAUCAUUCAUCUUCCAAUCAAGGCAUGUUGCCCUUUUUCAAUAAGAGGAAAGAGAGGCUCUCUCAAAGAAAAAAAAUUAAUUAUAAAAUAUCAAAUUAAUUAAGAAGUUUACCGUUGACAAUCCCUUUUUGCUAUUGGCAAACCCCUAUAAAAAUGAUAAAAUAUAAUUUUACUCUUUACCGUUCCUCAAUUAUCAAUCAUAUAUUUAUUCUCACAACCUCUUAUUUCUUCCACUAAAAUUUCAAAAAAGGAUGGGUAAUAAAUCCUAUAAUAAACUUCAUAAAUAUGAAAGAAAAACCUAAAAAUGAUCCCUAUCUCUUUUGCCUUCUCCUCAUCAUUCACCUUCCAACUAAGGCAUGUUGCCCUCUUUCAAUAAGAGGAAAGAGAGGCUCUCUCAAAGAAAAAAAUUAAUUAUAAAAUAUCAAAUUAAUUAAGAAGUUUGCUAUUGGCAAGCCCCUAUAAAAAUGAUAAAAUAUAAUUUUACUUUUGCAGUUCCUCAAUUAUUAAUCAUAUAUUUAUUCUCAUAAUCCCUUAUUUCUUCCACUAAAAUUCCAACAAAAUGAUGGGUAACAAAUCCUACAAUAAACUUUCAAAAUAUAAAAAGAAAACCUAAGAAGGAUCCCUACCUCUUUCACCCUCCUCCUCAUCCUUCACCUUCCUAACAAGACAAGUUGCCCUCUUUAAAUAAGAGAAAAGAGAGACUCUCCCAAAGAAAAUAAUUAAUUAUAAAAUAUUAAAUUAAUUAAGAAGUUUGCUAUUUGCAAACCCUUAAAAAAUAAUAAAAAUAUAAUUUUACUAUUUAUAGUCUCCCAAUUACCAAUUAUAUAUUUAUUAUUACAACUCCUUAUUUCAUCCACUGGAAAACUAUGUGCGUCAACAUCGCUCAAUGCCAUUCUGCCAUCCGAUGUUGCUUGACACCAUCAUCCCCACUCGUUCUUAAGUAUAAGUUAACUUAGCCUUAACAAAAACCCGUCUCGUCCCUUUGCUCAUCUAUCUCUUCUCUCUCCCAUGGCGAGAAUAGACAAAACAAAAAAAAAAAACUCUCAAGAAAGUCGAUCAAGACUCAAGAAGGAAUCACCAUGGUAGAGAUAUAAGAGGUGAUGGAGAUGAUGGUGGGGGUAAGCUCCAGAAAGGAGCUGAAGUGGUGGAUGAAAGAGAUGAAGAAGACUAAGUCCAACGGCUUCAAGCCACUUGACCUCUACUUUAAGGUCUAUUAUUAAAUCAAGUAGAAGGGAUAUCGCAUGCCUACACCAAUCCAGUGCAAGACCAUGCCUCUUAUCCUCUCCGACACUAACAUUUUCCCAUGGCUUGCAUCGAGUCUAGGAAAAUUGUUAUCGUUCGAUGUAAUCCCUACUCAUUGAGCAUCAUUCAUUGCUCUACAUCGCUCAAUGCAGAGGAAGACAUCGCUCACCAUCACUUUAUCAUGGACUUAACUGAUUUUACCUAAGUUAUGCAACUCCCUUAUGUGUUCAUUCAUAAAGGAUCAGCCUCUCUAUAACCUUUUAGGAUCCCUUAAGGACCUAUAAAAGAUAAGACGGGCUAGAAAAAGUUUUAUAUGCAAGGUUUCAUAAGUAGACAUUUUAGUAAACAUUUAAUAAAUAAUGUAGAAUAUAAAGAUAGACUUUGCACGCUCUAAACGGUAAUGAAACAUAAGAUCUAAAGCAGUCAACGACGAUUAAAAAUCUCCACAAGUGCUCACAUGACACCCUUAAGGACCUAGGUAGUAAUAUAGCCCUAGACACUAUCCUAAAUGCCCAUCAAGUCUUAUGUCACCUAGGUAAUCUAAUGUGCUAAAAUGAUUGACAUUUUGCGUUAUUCAACACACCUAUAAAACAUCCAAAAUCGCCACUUGGAUGGUUUAUUUUUUAAUAGUUUUACCUUUGAGCAAUGAUUUUUUCACACAUAACAUAUGUGUAUAAGCUUGAAACAUUCACAAAAGCCAACCAAAAUUGUCAAGUCUACUAUAAACCCCCUAUUUGAUGCCUAAAUUAUAAAUAAAAUCCAAAGACACUUUGCUUACAUGAUUGUUUAUGACAUUCUUAGUCACUUAUUCCUUUAACAUUCUCGUUGAACCUUUGAAGAUGUUGUAUCUCUUUGUUUUUGUUGAAUCUUUAAUCCUUUGUUUUAGUUACAAUAUACAUGCUAGCUUCUAGUUGCUCUUUGUCGUUAUUGUUGAGGAGCUGAACUCUGAUUUGCCAAUAUUACUUCAACUCACUAAUGAUUCUGACUCUAGUUUGGGCUCAAUCAAGUUGUACUAAUCUUCGUUGGUCCAUACAAAUCCUUUGUAUGAAAGAAAAGGCCUUCCAUAUUGUGCAUAAAUCUCUCAAAUGUCUCACAUCAGUUGAACCAGAUGAAUGCCUGUUUGAGCUUUGUUUGAGCUUUAACGAGUAUAAUCUUACAGACUUUAAAAUUUUAAGGUAUUUUCUUUGUAAAAUUUGUCUAUUAAUUCUUUUUUUUCUUUGUCAUCACCUUCGUUCACAUCAUCUUCAUUUUCUAUUAUCAUUUUGUUAGAAAAUAAAAUAGAUAAACUACCUUUGGUAGAACGAUCAUCAUUGGCGAGAAUUUGACAACUAAUCUGUCACAACCUCUCUUCGAAGGGUCUUUAAACAUAUGCGUAACUCCUCUGCUAGAUAACUAAGAUUGUUGGGUAGUUAGUUUCGCUCAUUCUCUCAAGAGCUAAGAAUGCUAAGGAUACUUGAUUUCGCUCACCUCAUUGAGGGUUGUACUUCAUACAUCAAGGUAGUUACUAGCUUUGCUAGAAGUGUCCUACAAGCCAAUCACGUGAGUGAUGGCACGUGUGAUUUGAUACGCAGUCUUUUUGCUUAUUAUUAUCAUUUAAUAUUUUAUCACUUUAUAUUGUCUAUUGCUUGAAUAUAUUGUGAUGUCCAUAGAUCUAUGCAAUGGGAAUUGGAUCAUGAUGAAAUCACGAUAAUGAGACCGAUUUGCCUUUAAAUAUAUAUCCUAAAUAAUCCUGGUCAUAAGUUGCUCAAGAGAGACAUCAAGAUAACCAGACAGACUAGUGUGUUGUAUACUCAUCCAUAUAAUCGAUACAGCUGGUCUCAUAGUUGCUCGUGUGGGGACACUAGGGAUACAAUACAAGUGCUCAUUGGGGAAUGAGUUAAUUGAUUGCUCCGCUUACGGCAUGCUGGAUGGGUGAUGAUACCUUAUUGUCAGAUAGCAAUUCUAUAGUCCUAGUAGUGUAUUUAGUCCUUAGACUUGAGACACCAAGGAAAUCAUGUAUAAGUACUUCAUUCUUUGCUACUGGACUUAUAUGUCUGGAGGUUCUAGAUCUAGCAUAACUGGUAAUCGAGAGUGAUAGUCAACCUUACAAGAACUAUUAAGUGUCGAUAGAGGAUCAUCCACUCUCGGUGUUAUGAGAGGAAUGUCCCAUAUGUUUUACUCAGACAAAUCUCUGGCCAAGGUCAUUCGGAUUGAGAGAGAGAGAGUUCUUCAUGAGAAUCUGAUUAGAGCGAGACUCAAAUAGAAACUGUAUGGGUCUAACAGCACCAUGUCCGGUAUACAAUCUCUGAGAUAUUAGAUAGAUGAUGGACUAUAGGUAUACAGUAAUUGAGGACAGAUAGGUCCAAUGGAGUUCUCCCGGUUCAAUAGCUCCCCACUCCCUCCAUUCCUUCUCCUCUUCCUUCUUCACAAGCUUCCCUUAUUACUGAAGUAAUAUCCUCAGAAAUACAACAAUCUUCUUUAUCUAGUGCCACUAAUAUAUCUCAGCUUAUCCCGACCCUAGUUGAUGCCUCUCCACCACCCAUACCAAUAACACAACUUAUAGUUCCUAUACAUCCAAUGACAACUUGCUCAAAAAGUGAUAUCUUUAAACCACGUUAGGUUCUCGGCCUACAUGCUAUCACCGAAUCCUCUCCCGAGACCAAUGAACCCAUCAUAAUUACUCAAGCCCAAAAUUCUCUUCACUAGCGUAAAGCCAUGUGUGAAUAAUAUGAUGCUCUACUCUAUAACUUCACAUGGACUCUUGUACCUUUUCAUCCUACACAAAAUAUCAUCGAGUGUAAAUGGGUCUUCCGAAUUAAGCGAAAUCCCGAUGGGUCCGUUGAUCGAUAUAAAGCACGAUUAGUAGCCAAAGGAUUUCAUCAACGACCUAGAGUUGACUUCACAAAGACUUUUAGUCAUGUAAUUAAACCCACAACAAUUCGACUUAUUCUAAGUUUGGCCAUCUCCAGAGGCUGGCACUUAGGACAACUGGAUGUUAACAAUGCCUUUUUACAGUGGACUCUAACUGAAGAUGUCUUUAUAUAGUAAUCCCUUAGCUUUGUUCAUUACCAAUAUCCGAGAUAUGUCUGCAAAUUAUAAAAAGCUAUUUAUGGAUUUUGUCAAGCUCUAAGAGCUUGGUAUACUGAACUUGGAUCAUUUCUAAUAUCAAUUGGCUUCAUCAACUCCAAGUCUAAUAUCUCAUUAUUCCUACGAUGACAACAUGAAAAUACAAUAUAUCUUCUAGUAUAUAUAGAUGUUAUUAUUAUUACAGACAAUAAUCCCUUGGAGAUUCAGACAUUUUAAAAAAAAUUGAUUGAUCGAUUCUCCCUCAAAGAUUUAGGACCCUUGAGCUAUUUUCUGAGAAUGAAAGCAACAUUUAUAUCCUUAGGUCUCCUCCUCUCACAGAGAAAAUAUAUUCAAGACUUAUUAUCAAAGACAAAUAUGUAGGAUGCAAAAGAAGUUGCUACUCCUCUCUCUACUAGUGAAUUACUCAAAUUAUGUGAUGACAACCCUACCACGGACUCAACUCAAUAUCGACAAGUACUUGGCUCUUUACAGUAUUUGGCUCUCACCCGUUCAUAUAUCUCAUUUGCAGUUAAUAAAUUAUUUCAAUACAUGCACCAGCCUUCUGCUAUGCAUUGGUCUGCGGUUCGGUAUCUUAAAGGGACCCUUAAUCAUGGUCUCUUUCUCCGCAAAACCACUCCACUUCAUCUUCAUGCCUUUGCUGAUGCUGAUUGGGCAGGAAACUUUGAUGAUAGAACCUCCACGUCAAGGUAUGUCAUCUUUCUUGGGUCUAAUCCAAUAAGUUAGAGUUCUAAGAAGCAAAAGACAAUGGCAUGAUCUACAACGGAAGCUGAAUAUCAUGCUAUUGCUACCGCUGUUGUUGAACUCAAUUGGGUCAUAAAUCUCCUCAAGGAACUCAAAGUCAGCUCUACCUAUACUCUUACAAUAUAUAGUGACAAUAUUGGAGCUACCUACUUAUGUGUCAAUCCAGUGUUCCACUCAUGCAUAAAACAUAUUGCCAUCGACUUUCACUUUGUGCGAGAUCAAGUUGUCAGACAUCAACUUCGUGUCUCUCAUAUCCGUACGGAUGAUCAACUAGCAGACUCACUCACGAAGCCUCUAGCCCGCAAACUAUUUUUGUUGUAUCGGUCCAAAAUCGGUAUCCUUGACAGGAGCUCGAUCUUGCGGGGACAUGAUAACAGAGAGAUUUCUUCUGAUAAUAGAGAUUUCCUCAAUUGCAUAAGAAAAUCUCUUUGCUUAGUUAAAGAAAUCUUCUCUUUCACAUGUAUAAAUAGACUUCAUGUGAUACUAAUUGGAACGUGCUUUUCUCUUUACCUUUACAAUUUUAUUCUUUAUUCUUUCAUUUUAUUAGUUUUCACACUCCAUGAUGCUAAAUUUCAAUCAACUUGGGAUGGUCAUAGAUAGUUUGUCCUCCGUAUAUAAGACAUUGCAUGAGUAUUGAAUUCUUCGGGUUGACAAUUUUCCUUGUCACUAUGAGUUUUGUACAAACUAUUUCGAUUGUCAGGCAACUCAUCCCUCUUUGCACAAUCUCAUCUUUUGUUAAGUACCCCCACUUGCAUUAAGUUUGGUUGCUAAUGACAAGCUAUGUCAGCCAUCCCAACCUUUGCAUGCUAUAUGUUCUUCCUGGUUCACUUAUUUUUGUGGUGCCUCUUGCGCGAAGGAUUAGUCAUUCCUUUGAAUACUAAUAUCGGAUGCCCACUCUUAUAAGUGACUUAUUUUCCUACAUCUCUAUGCUCAUUUCCCUCAAACGAACAGACAUACUAGCUACCCACAAUAUAACCUUGCUAGGUCUCUCAUAUUUGCAUGUAAAGAUUUUUAAGUGUGCUUGUCUUAGGUGGUUUGGUGUAAGUUGUGCGGCACCCUUAUAUAUCCGUUCGUAAAAGAUCAACAUCUUCAUAACCUUUAUGGUCUCCUAAAGUUCUACAAAAGAAAAACAUGUUAAAAUUAUAUUUAAGAUCCCACAAAUAAACAUUUCUGAUAGAUAAUAUAAAAUAUAAAGAUAGACUUCACAAGCUCUAAAUGAUCGUACAACAAAUGGUUUAUGAUAGUCUGUCACGAUAAAAAAUCCUCACAUAACACUUCUGCAUAAUUAAACAACGAACCAAUCCUAAACACUACCUCAAAAGUCAAUCCAAUCUUGUGCCACCUAGGUAGAUCUUGAGUGUUGAGAUGACUGAUAUUUUGAACUGUCUAAAUAAUUUUAUCUCUGUACGAGUCUGAAACGAUUACAAAAGUCAAUCAAAAACUUCAUGCUAUCUAAAUCAUGAAUAAAAUUAAAAAACAUGAACAUACAAAGAUAAUUAUAUCAAAUACUUUAUCUUAACUUUAAUUUAUUGUUAAUCGAGAUUCAUUACUGAGGGAAAAAUAUAAAAAAUGGAAAGAGUUAAUGGGUCUUGGAAUUGAAAUUGAGUGAUAAGUUAAAAGAUUAUUUAUAUCCAUUUAUAAAAUUAAAAAUAAAAAUAUUAAAAUUAGAAGAAAAAAAAUUUGCAAUUGGUAAUUUUUUCACUAUUAACAACCGUUGCUAUUUGUUAUCCUCACAAACCCCCCUCCCCUCCCAUCUCCUCCCACGCUAUCUUCCCGUCGUCAUCUCCACCUCCCUCCCCCCGUCCCUCCCUCCACGUCCUCCCCCACUCUCUCUGCGCUCCGCCUCCCCCUCCCCCUGCCCCUGCCCCUGCCCCUCCACCUCCUCCCCCUCUCUCUCCCGCCUCUGUCUUCCCUACUCUUCCCCCCUCUCCCCCUCUGCCAGUUUGUUUUGGCUUGCCAAGAGCCCAGUUGUGAUUGCAUCAGCCUCAGAGGGGAACCGGAAGAGGAAAUAGCCGCCGGCCAUGUCCAGAAUUAAAGGGCAUAUGGAGGAAGACCAUAGUUUGAACACUAGCUUUCAGAGCAUCACGAGGAGGAGGAAGUUUUCCUAAGGAAUCUGCCCCCCACCAUAAGCCUAGGCUUCCUCUAUUCAGGUUACAAGGAGUCAUCAAACUCAAUAAAAUCUUGAGAAGCAUUUUUUAUACGAUCGAAAACUCCAGAAGAGAGGAAGCAGAAGGAUGAAGUAGAGGAAGGAGCUUUGCCAGGAGGGGCGCCAGGAUCCGGAGGCCCCGGGGCAAGGGGAGACGAGGAAGCCCGGGCAGCAUCACCAGCGCCAUCCACCCACUUAUCGUCAGACCGGCCCGCGCCUCCCGUGCCCUUGGUGCCGGAGCUCAAGGAGGAGUGCACGGUAGCGCCGGCGCGCUUGGCACCGGAGCCCGCCGAAGAGGGAGCAGCACCACCAGCGGCCUUCGCUCGCUUGUCGCCAGAGCCGCCCGGAGCGCCAACACAGCUUUACAAUCCUUCACUCUUUUGCUCUUUUUACUGGGUUUUCCUUGAUCAAGGGAGAAAAAGGGGCACAAAUCUAAUAUGGAAUUCUUAUAUUACGAAAAGCGAGGAAAAGAACCGGUGAUUACAAAGCACACAGUUCGGUAGCUUUGCGUUGGAGGCAUUGUGGGGAACAGGCACAGUCUGUAAAAGAAAGCUGCGGCACCUGGUAGUGGGAUCCGGCGUCGGACUUCACCGACGAGAGCGCAGCGCUGUUCAUAGCUAGGGGAGACAAGGGCCGAAAGUGCCAUAAACUGUACGCUUUCGAACGUGGCAGUUGCAAAUGGUGAGUCAUCAGAACAUGGCUGCUGGAACCACGGCGGAGUCCUUUUUGGAAGUGCCAACCCAAAUCCGGCCCGCUUUUGGACCUCUCUUCGGGUCAAUCAAAUGAUCCCCGAUCACAGUAAUCGACGGUUGAGAUCAGCUUGGGUUUCUUUUUUUAAUCGUAUUUGUUUAUUCGCCACGUGGAAUUUUCUUUUGCGGCGGGUUCGAAUGCUUCGAGGCUAAGCUUGCUGUCUCCCGGACCACGCGGUGGGGCUCGUCCCUUAUGCUUCUUCCCCUCUGGAAGGCGUGUAUAUAUACCGAAUCCCCGCGGGCUGAUUCCAUCCAUCCAACCAAACCAAAAGCACGCUUCCUUUACUUUACCCUGCUCACAGAAGGGAGAGCGAGGAACAGGCGACGGAUCGAGCGCGAUAUGGAGAUGGGAGAGUCGGGAAUCGAGAGUCUUCCGGACCUCUGCGUCGCUCACUCCAUCUCCCUCACGUCGCCCCGGGACGCGUGCCGCUUAUCCGCCGUCUCGGCCGCCUUCCGCGGCGCCGCCACUUCUGACACCGUCUGGGACCGUUUCCUGCCCACCGAUUGGCAGUCGCUCGUCUCCCGCGCUGUCUAUCCCGUCGAGUUCUCCUCCUCUUCCUCCAAGCGGGAUAUCUUCUUUCGCCUCUGCGAUCCCAUCCUCAUCGACGACGGCAAGAUGGUUAGUACAAAUCCCCUCACUCUCGUUUUCUACAAUUAUGUUGCAGCAAAAACUAAGCUGUUGUUCGGAUAUAUCUCUAAUCAAAUUCAGCAAAAAAAAAAAGUUCUUUUAUUUGGAAGAACAAGGGUAUACUUUGAUCAUUCCGAUUCCACAAAGGUGUUGUUAUAAUGUUGUCACCUAUGAUCCAUCCCAUCGAGCGUCUUUCACUCACAUAUUGAUAUGUCUCUUGAAAUUGAUUUAUGUUCGUCUUUGCAGAGUUUCUCACUGGACAGAUCGAGCGGGGCCAAGUGCUACAUGCUCUCCGCCAGAGAGCUGUUCAUUACGUGGGCAGAUACUCCGCAGUAUUGGACGUGGGAUUGCCUACCUGAAUCCAGGUAUGUGGUAAUCUCCCACACUUUCUUCCCUCUUCGCAUCGUAACUCUGAAAACCAAGCCUUUUGUUAAGAAAAUGGGUACAUUUUAUUAGCUCAUACACGAACUUCUGAUCCAUAGUUCUGUAAUCCCAGUCUUACUUGAGGACUUGUAGCCGGUACUCUCAUUACAUAGAUCCAUUUGACGUACUCAUUUAUCUAUUAUGCUGCAUGCUUGAUGUAGUCUAAUUAGAUCUAUUUAUAAGCAAUACCUGCAUGCUAUCUGUGUUACAGCCUCAUUGGCAUGCUAGAAUGCAUAGCCCAGCUAAUAUAUUACAUGAUUGUUGAUGGUAACUUUCCCCGUGGA
This 20459-nucleotide long non-coding RNA is filed under the name Musa acuminata (dwarf banana). Its description in RNAcentral is "long non-coding RNA (MACU_LNC000117)". Lineage: Eukaryota; Viridiplantae; Streptophyta; Magnoliopsida; Zingiberales; Musaceae. The record is from RNAcentral.